AAGACUAUAGACCUGCGGAGUACCUGCGGAAGGAUCAUUACCGAGUUAGGGUUCCUCUCACGGGCCCGACCUCCCAACCCUGUGUCUAUCACACCUUGUCGUUGCUUCGGCGGACCGGUUUGACUCCGGUCGCGACCGCCGGGGGUGCUUCACCCCGGGAGAGCGUCCGCCGAUGGCCCAACCACAAAACUUCUUUGUACCAAAACCGGUCGUCUAAAUCAAACUUGAUCAUAAUCAAAA
RNAcentral lists this unclassified non-coding RNA (240 nucleotides) under soil metagenome. Its description in RNAcentral is "partial contains 5.8S ribosomal RNA, internal transcribed spacer 2, and large subunit ribosomal RNA". The record is from RNAcentral.